Molecule: non-coding RNA, 92 nt
Organism: Mycena metata
Lineage: Eukaryota; Fungi; Basidiomycota; Agaricomycetes; Agaricales; Mycenaceae
Source: the annotation of a GenBank genome assembly
CCGACUUUAGCUCAGUUAAAAGAGCAUCAGACUGCAACUGGUUACCGUAACGAAUUAUCUGAGGGUCCUCUGUUCGAACCAGAGAAGUCGGA